GAUGAACGCUGGCGGCGUGCCUAAUACAUGCAAGUCGAGCGAACGGACGAGAAGCUUGCUUCUCUGAUGUUAGCGGCGGACGGGUGAGUAACACGUGGAUAACCUACCUAUAAGACUGGGAUAACUUCGGGAAACCGGAGCUAAUACCGGAUAAUAUUUUGAACCGCAUGGUUCAAAAGUGAAAGACGGUCUUGCUGUCACUUAUAGAUGGAUCCGCGCUGCAUUAGCUAGUUGGUAAGGUAACGGCUUACCAAGGCAACGAUGCAUAGCCGACCUGAGAGGGUGAUCGGCCACACUGGAGCUGAGACACGGUCCAGACUCCUACGGGAGGCAGCAGUAGGGAAUCUUCCGCAAUGGGCGAAAGCCUGACGGAGCAACGCCGCGUGAGUGAUGAAGGGCUUCGGAUCGUAAAACUCUGUUAUUGGGGAAGAACAUAUGUGUAAGUAACUGUGCACAUCUUGACGGUACCUAAACAGAAAGCCACGGCUAACUACGU
Molecule: ribosomal RNA, 496 nt
Filed under: uncultured bacterium
Lineage: Bacteria
Description: partial 16S ribosomal RNA
Rfam family: Bacterial small subunit ribosomal RNA
Source: RNAcentral